CUACUACUACUACUACUACUAUUACCACUACUACUACUACGUAACCCGAGACCACGGUUGCUCCCGAGAAAGAAACUCCGCCGACGGAGGAAAAAAGGUGACGAGUUUCGGAGCACCUAAAUCCACAAUUGCUAUCACUAUGAAUUAUUAAUGAAACAUAUAAGAAUAAAAAUUUUCGAGCAAAAA
Molecule: long non-coding RNA, 186 nt
Filed under: Polistes fuscatus (common paper wasp)
Lineage: Eukaryota; Metazoa; Arthropoda; Insecta; Hymenoptera; Vespidae
Description: uncharacterized LOC122526012
Source: RNAcentral